UACGAAGGGGGCUAGCGUUGCUCGGAAUUACUGGGCGUAAAGGGCGCGUAGGCGGAUAUUUAAGUUAGAGGUGAAAGCCCAGGGCUCAACCCUGGAAUAGCCUUUAAUACUGGAUAUCUUGAGUUCGGGAGAGGUGAGUGGAACUCCGAGUGUAGAGGUGAAAUUCGUAGAUAUUCGGAAGAACACCAGUGGCGAAGGCGACUUACUGGACACAUAUUGACGCUGAGGUGCGAAAGCGUGGGGGAGCAAACAGG
This 254-nucleotide ribosomal RNA is filed under the name uncultured bacterium. RNAcentral's name for it is "partial 16S ribosomal RNA". It matches the Rfam family "Bacterial small subunit ribosomal RNA", at positions 524 to 776 of the family's 1533-position model. The record is from RNAcentral.